GGCUCAGAUUGAACGCUGGCGGCAUGCCUUACACAUGCAAGUCGAACGGCAGGCACGGGGCAACCUGGUGGCGAGUGGCGAACGGGUGAGUAAUGCAUCGGAACGUGCCAUUGAGUGGGGGAUAACGUAGCGAAAGUUGCGCUAAUACCGCAUAUUCUGUGAGCAGGAAAGCUGGGGACCGCAAGGCCUUGCGCUCUUUGAGCGGCCGAUGUCAGAUUAGCUAGUUGGUGAGGUAACGGCUUACCAAGGCGACGAUCUGUAGCGGGUCUGAGAGGAUGAUCCGCCGCACUGGAACUGAGACACGGUCCAGACUCCUACGGGAGGCAGCAGUGGGGAAUUUUGGACAAUGGGCGCAAGCCUGAUCCAGCCAUGCCGCGUGAGUGAAGAAGGCCUUCGGGUUGUAAAGCUCUUUCGGCCGGGAAGAAAUCGCAUGGGUUAAUACCCUGUGUGGAUGACGGUACCGGAAUAAGAAGCACCGGCUAACUACGUG
RNAcentral lists this ribosomal RNA (490 nucleotides) under uncultured bacterium. RNAcentral's name for it is "bacterial SSU rRNA". It matches the Rfam family "Bacterial small subunit ribosomal RNA", at positions 21 to 507 of the family's 1533-position model. The record is from RNAcentral.